RNAcentral lists this ribosomal RNA (253 nucleotides) under uncultured bacterium. RNAcentral's name for it is "partial 16S ribosomal RNA". It matches the Rfam family "Bacterial small subunit ribosomal RNA", at positions 524 to 776 of the family's 1533-position model. The record is from RNAcentral.
UACGUAGGGUGCGAGCGUUAAUCGGAAUUACUGGGCGUAAAGCGUGCGCAGGCGGUUUUGUAAGCCAGAUGUGAAAUCCCCGGGCUUAACCUGGGAAUGGCAUUUGGGACUGCAAGGCUGGAGUGCGGCAGAGGAGACUGGAAUUCCUGGUGUAGCAGUGAAAUGCGUAGAUAUCAGGAGGAACACCGAUGGCGAAGGCAGGUCUCUGGGCAACAACUGACGCUGAGGAGCGAAAGCGUGGGGAGCGAACAGG